GAUGAACGCUGUCUACAGGCUUAACACAUGCAAGUCGAGGGGAAACGACGGGGAAGCUUGCUUCCCCGGGCGUCGACCGGCGCACGGGUGAGUAACGCGUAUCCAACCUGCCUCUGACUGAGGGAUAACCCGUCGAAAGUCGGCCUAAUACCUCAUGGCAUCGUCUGCGGGCAUCCAACGACGAUUAAAGAUUUCAUCGGUCAGGGAUGGGGAUGCGUCUGAUUAGCUUGUUGGUGGGGUAACGGCCCACCAAGGCUACGAUCAGUAGGGGUUCUGAGAGGAAGGUCCCCCACAUUGGAACUGAGACACGGUCCAAACUCCUACGGGAGGCAGCAGUGAGGAAUAUUGGUCAAUGGGCGGGAGCCUGAACCAGCCAAGUAGCGUGCAGGAUGACGGCCCUAUGGGUUGUAAACUGCUUUUAUGCGGGGAUAAAGUGAGGGACGUGUCCUUCAUUGCAGGUACCGCAUGAAUAAGGACCGGCUAAUUCCGUG
This 491-nucleotide ribosomal RNA is filed under the name uncultured bacterium. RNAcentral's name for it is "partial 16S ribosomal RNA". It matches the Rfam family "Bacterial small subunit ribosomal RNA", at positions 28 to 507 of the family's 1533-position model. The record is from RNAcentral.